This 438-nucleotide ribosomal RNA is filed under the name uncultured bacterium. Its description in RNAcentral is "bacterial SSU rRNA". It matches the Rfam family "Bacterial small subunit ribosomal RNA", at positions 954 to 1392 of the family's 1533-position model. The record is from RNAcentral.
GCAAAACGCGAAGAACCUUACCUACUCUUGACAUCCAGAGAACUUAGCAGAGAUGCUUUGGUGCCUUCGGGAACUCUGAGACAGGUGCUGCAUGGCUGUCGUCAGCUCGUGUUGUGAAAUGUUGGGUUAAGUCCCGCAACGAGCGCAACCCUUAUCCUUUGUUGCCAGCGGUUAGGCCGGGAACUCAAAGGAGACUGCCAGUGAUAAACUGGAGGAAGGUGGGGAUGACGUCAAGUCAUCAUGGCCCUUACGAGUAGGGCUACACACGUGCUACAAUGGCGCAUACAAAGAGAAGCGACCUCGCGAGAGCAAGCGGACCUCAUAAAGUGCGUCGUAGUCCGGAUUGGAGUCUGCAACUCGACUCCAUGAAGUCGGAAUCGCUAGUAAUCGUGGACCAGAAUGCCACGGUGAAUACGUUCCCGGGUCUUGUACACACCG